Carassius carassius (crucian carp) is the source of this 675-nucleotide long non-coding RNA. RefSeq lists it as uncharacterized. The record is from RefSeq and is a predicted model, not a curated record. The transcript has 3 exons. Lineage: Eukaryota; Metazoa; Chordata; Actinopteri; Cypriniformes; Cyprinidae.
UCCGAAAUCGCGUACUUCCAUACUAUAUAGUAGGCGAAAAACAGUAUGUGAAGCAAGUAGUAUGUCCGAAUCCUUAGUAUUUGAAAAACAGUAGGCGAGAUGUACCCGGAUGGCCUACUACUUCCGCCCGAAUUCCGUAGUAUGCAUAGGAUGGACACUACUCUAUUCCAUGAUGCCACGGGAGAGGACUCGUCAUACUCAUAUUCAAAAAUAACGGAAAAUCGUGACGCCGCUGUUUUGAAGUAGACUGAUGAACACACACUUGUUCUCAUCCACUGAUGAAACCCUACUCACUGGAAAGCAUAAUUCAGUAAUUAUGCUCUUGAAGAGCUGCACACGGUCGUCUGGUGUGACACAGCUGUGGUCAGAUUGUCCCACACAUGCUCUCCUGUGCUGACUUCUGUGUUUUGGGGUUCCAGUGUAUCAUCGUCAUGAUCUUCCACAACUUCUGGAUCAACAAUGUCCUCAUUCAGAAGACCGAGGUUGUGGAGCACUGCACAGCAUGCAACAACAUCUGCACAAAGACAGGACUCACUUUCAGGGCCUUGAAGAAGAAGAAGAUGGAGCACAGCUUGUCUUCAUCAUCCUGAAGGCUCUCUCAACAAUGUUCUGUGCACGAGCAUCACUGGUGUUGAAUCAAACCUGUGCAGGAUUCUGUUCAGGCUCUCUGGAGUG